Cyclopterus lumpus (lumpfish) is the source of this 771-nucleotide long non-coding RNA. RefSeq lists it as uncharacterized. The transcript is spliced from 3 exons. The record is from RefSeq and is a predicted model, not a curated record. NCBI's taxonomy places the organism in Eukaryota, Metazoa, Chordata, Actinopteri, Perciformes, Cyclopteridae.
UUUUAAUAUUUGUGUAGUGUUAAUGUUUCAUGUGUUGUGUGUGCUUGUAUGAAUCUAAUAGGUAUUUUUUCCCCGGGUGCAUCAACAAUCUUUAACUGAAAUUCAUCAAAAGGAUCCAAGCAACCCGAGCAUCCACGCAACCAGAGAUACCGUCAUUCGGUGUUUGAUGGUGUACCUUGGAGAAUCCACGGAUCAACUCUUAAAAGAAUAUGAUGAUGCUGAUGAAGACAGUGUGGCGCAGGACCUUGCCACGCAAAAGAUACAAAUCUAUAUCUGUCUGUAUCGUUUUAGAGGGACUAAAAGUUGUGACUGCUCUGGAUAACAUUCUGAGGGCUUGCUGCAUGCUGGUUGGGUUGGUGUAUACAGUCAACCUUGCCUAUCCCAAGGAGCUCCGAUAUACUUUCGAGGUCUUUCAGAAACUCCUACUGGAGCUGGACUGUUCAAAGCUGUCCCCGAAAGUAAACAGCCUCAAAAACAAACUGUUAACCUAAUAGAAUGGACCCUUGUGGAACAAUUUAUAUGUCACUGUUCAAAACUCACCUGUGGUUAAGUUCAACUCGUUCAAUGCUUGAGUUUAUUAUUUUUUUAAGGAUCCCAGUGAGAAGUGUAGUUGUGCCAUGUUAUUUGAUGCACAAGCAGCUGUUUGUGUAGUGUUUUAACUGUAAGCCGGAAUUGCAUAUUGUGUGUUUUUACAGAGAAGUUUGCACAUGAAGAAUUUUAUAAAUGUUAUAAAUGUAACAAAUUUGCACAAAUAAAUGUUUACCUGCUGUA